RNAcentral lists this ribosomal RNA (494 nucleotides) under uncultured bacterium. Its description in RNAcentral is "partial 16S ribosomal RNA". It matches the Rfam family "Bacterial small subunit ribosomal RNA", at positions 28 to 507 of the family's 1533-position model. The record is from RNAcentral.
GACGAACGCUGGCGGCGUGCUUAACACAUGCAAGUCGAACGGUGAAGCGCCUUCCUUUUUGGUGGGUGUGGAUGAGUGGCGAACGGGUGAGUAACACGUGAGUAACCUGCCCCCUUCUUCUGGAUAACCGCAUGAAAGUGUGGCUAAUACGGGAUAUUCUGGGUCUGUCGCAUGAUGGGUCUGGGAAAGAUAUUGUUUCGGUGGGGGAUGGGCUCGCGGCCUAUCAGCUUGUUGGUGGGGUGAUGGCCUACCAAGGCGGUGACGGGUAGCCGGCCUGAGAGGGUGGACGGUCACACUGGGACUGAGACACGGCCCAGACUCCUACGGGAGGCAGCAGUGGGGAAUAUUGCACAAUGGGCGCAAGCCUGAUGCAGCGACGCCGCGUGAGGGAUGGAGGCCUUCGGGUUGUGAACCUCUUUCGCCAGUGAAGCAGGCCUGCCUCGUUUGUGGGUCGGUUGACGGUAGCUGGAUAAGAAGCGCCGGCUAACUACGUG